AGAUUGAACGCUGGCGGCAGGCCUAACACAUGCAAGUCGAGCGGCAGCACGGGUACUUGUACCUGGUGGCGAGCGGCGGACGGGUGAGUAAUGCCUAGGAAUCUGCCUGGUAGUGGGGGAUAACGCUCGGAAACGGACGCUAAUGCCGCAUACGUCCUACGGGAGAAAGCAGGGGACCUUCGGGCCUUGCGCUAUCAGAUGAGCCUAGGUCGGAUUAGCUAGUUGGUGAGGUAAUGGCUCACCAAGGCGACGAUCCGUAACUGGUCUGAGAGGAUGAUCAGUCACACUGGAACUG
This 295-nucleotide ribosomal RNA is filed under the name uncultured soil bacterium. RNAcentral describes it as "partial 16S ribosomal RNA". It matches the Rfam family "Bacterial small subunit ribosomal RNA", at positions 26 to 321 of the family's 1533-position model. The record is from RNAcentral.